Molecule: ribosomal RNA, 171 nt
Filed under: Triticum aestivum (bread wheat)
Lineage: Eukaryota; Viridiplantae; Streptophyta; Magnoliopsida; Poales; Poaceae
Description: partial small subunit ribosomal RNA
Source: RNAcentral
GGGUUGAAUGUGGGUGUUGUUCUUAUUUUGCCCGAGGGAUUUGAAUUCGCGCCGCCCUACCACAUUUCGCCUGAGUUGAAAGAAAAGAUAGGACAACUUUCUUUUCAUGGAGAUAGAAAAUCUCUUCAUUUCUGUGAAACAAAUUUACAUAUUUAUUGUGAGGUGCUUUGA